RNAcentral lists this ribosomal RNA (459 nucleotides) under uncultured bacterium. RNAcentral's name for it is "partial 16S ribosomal RNA". It matches the Rfam family "Bacterial small subunit ribosomal RNA", at positions 338 to 795 of the family's 1533-position model. The record is from RNAcentral.
CCUACGGGAGGCAGCAGUGAGGAAUAUUGGUCAAUGGGCGGGAGUCUGAACCAGCCAAGUCGCGUGAGGGACGACGGUCCUAUGGAUUGUAAACCUCUUUUGUCGGGGAACAAAAGCGUCCACGGGUGGGAGGAUGAGUGUACCCGAAGAAAAAGCAUCGGCUAACUCCGUGCCAGCAGCCGCGGUAAUACGGAGGAUGCGAGCGUUAUCCGGAUUUAUUGGGUUUAAAGGGUGCGUAGGCGGACAGUCAAGUCAGCGGUAAAAAUGCGGUGCUCAACGCCGUACAGCCGUUGAAACUGGCAGUCUUGAGUGGGCGAGAAGUGUGCGGAAUUCGUGGUGUAGCGGUGAAAUGCAUAGAUAUCACGCAGAACUCCGAUUGCGAAGGCAGCAUACCGGCGCCCUACUGACGCUGAGGCACGAAAGCGUGGGUAUCGAACAGGAUUAGAUACCCUUGUAGUC